UGAAAUACCACUACUUUUAAC
This 21-nucleotide non-coding RNA is filed under the name Arabidopsis thaliana (thale cress). The record is from RNAcentral. Lineage: Eukaryota; Viridiplantae; Streptophyta; Magnoliopsida; Brassicales; Brassicaceae.